Small nuclear RNA from Ochotona curzoniae (black-lipped pika), 107 nucleotides. The record is from RefSeq and is a predicted model, not a curated record. Lineage: Eukaryota; Metazoa; Chordata; Mammalia; Lagomorpha; Ochotonidae.
GUGUUCGCUUCAAUGGCACAUAUACCAAAAUUGGAAUGAGAUAGAGAAGGUUAGCGUGACUCUUGUUCAAGGAUGACAUACAAAUUGGUGAAGUUUCAUAUUUUUUU